UGUUUCGGCUAGGGGGCCAUCCCGGCUUACCAACCCGAUGCAAACUGCGAAUACCGGAGAAUGUUAUCACGGGAGACACACGGCGGGUGCUAACGUCCGUCGUGAAGAGGGAAACAACCCAGACCGCCAGCUAAGGUCCCAAAGUCAUGGUUAAGUGGGAAACGAUGUGGGAAGGCCCAGACAGCCAGGAUGUUGGCUUAGAAGCAGCCAUCAUUUAAAGAAAGCGUAAUAGCUCACUGGUCGAGUCGGCCUGCGCGGAAGAUGUAACGGGGCUAAACCAUGCACCGAAGCUGCGGCAGCGACACUUUAGUGUUGUUGGGUAGGGGAGCGUUCUGUAAGCCGUUGAAGGUGUCCUGUGAGGGGUGCUGGAGGUAUCAGAAGUGCGAAUGCUGACAUAAGUAACGAUAAAGCGGGUGAAAAGCCCGCUCGCCGGAAGACCAAGGGUUCCUGUCCAACGUUAAUCGGGGCAGGGUGAGUCGACCCCUAAGGCGAGGCCGAAAGGCGUAGUCGAUGGGAAACGGGUUAAUAUUCCCGUACUUGGUGUUACUGCGAAGGGGGGACGGAGAAGGCUAUGUUGGCCGGGCGACGGUAGUCCCGGUUUAAGCGUGUAGGUGUGUGUUCCAGGUAAAUCCGGU
This 635-nucleotide ribosomal RNA is filed under the name Salmonella enterica subsp. diarizonae. RNAcentral describes it as "partial 23S ribosomal RNA". It matches the Rfam family "Bacterial large subunit ribosomal RNA", at positions 911 to 1546 of the family's 2925-position model. Lineage: Bacteria; Pseudomonadati; Pseudomonadota; Gammaproteobacteria; Enterobacterales; Enterobacteriaceae. The record is from RNAcentral.